This 122-nucleotide ribosomal RNA is filed under the name Trypanosoma theileri. Lineage: Eukaryota; Euglenozoa; Kinetoplastea; Trypanosomatida; Trypanosomatidae. The record is from RNAcentral.
GGGUACGACCAUGCUUGGCCGAAUGCAACAUAUCCCGUCCGAUUUGUGAAGUUAAGCGGCCACAGGCCUCGUUAGUACGGAGAUCGCUUACUACAGCGCUGGAACCCGGGACGCCGUACCCU